UGGGGAGUCUUGGACAAUGGGGGCAACCCUGAUCCAGCGACGCCGCGUGGGUGAUGAAGGCCUUCGGGUUGUAAAGCCCUUUCGCCGGGGACGAUGAUGACGGUACCCGGAGAAGAAGCCCCGGCUAACUCCGCGCCAGCAGCCGCGGUAAGACGGAGGGGGCAAGCGUUGUCCGGACUCACUGGGCGUAAAGGGCGUGCAGGCGGCUCUGUGCGUCGGCGCUGAAAGCGCCCGGCUUAACCGGGCGAGGUGCGUCGAUACGAUAGAGCUUGAGGCAAGGUGAGGCUGGCGGAAUUCCGGGUGUAGUGGUGAAAUGCGUAGAGAUCCGGAGGAACGCCCGUGGCGUAAGCGGCUAGCUAGUCUUGACCUGACGCUGAGGCGCGAAAGCGUGGGGAGCGAACCGGAUUAGAUACCCCGGUAGUCC
Molecule: ribosomal RNA, 424 nt
Filed under: uncultured prokaryote
Description: bacterial SSU rRNA
Rfam family: Bacterial small subunit ribosomal RNA
Source: RNAcentral